UAGUGGCAGACGGGUGAGUAAUGCAUAGGAAUCUGCCUAGUAGUAUGGGAUAGCCACUAGAAAUGGUGGGUAAUACUGUAUACGCCCUGCGGGGGAAAGAUUUAUCGCUACUAGAUGAGCCUAUGUUAGAUUAGCUAGUUGGUAGGGUAAAGGCCUACCAAGGCAGUGAUCUAUAGCUGGUCUGAGAGGAUGAUCAGCCACACUGGAACUGAGAUACGGUCCAGACUCCUACGGGAGGCAGCAGUGGGGAAUAUUGGACAAUGGGCGCAAGCCUGAUCCAGCUAUGCCGCGUGAGUGAGGAAGGCCUUAGGGUUGUAAAACUCUUUCAGUGGGGAAGAUAAUGACGGUACCCACAGAAGAAGUCCCGGCAAACUCCGUGCCAGCAGCCGCGGUAAUACGGGGGGGGCAAGCGUUGUUCGGAAUUAUUGGGCGUAAAGGGCAUGUAGGCGGUUCGGUAAGUUAAAGGUGAAAUGCCAGGG
Molecule: ribosomal RNA, 479 nt
Filed under: uncultured Anaplasma sp.
Lineage: Bacteria; Pseudomonadati; Pseudomonadota; Alphaproteobacteria; Rickettsiales; Anaplasmataceae
Description: bacterial SSU rRNA
Rfam family: Bacterial small subunit ribosomal RNA
Source: RNAcentral